AGUAAAUAGAUACCCGGGUAGUCCACGCCGUAAACGAUGAGUACUAGCUGUAUGGGGUAUCGACUCCCUGUGUAGCGAAAGCUAAACGCGAUAAGUACUCCGCCUGGGGACUACGGCCGCAAGGCUAAAACUCAAAGGAAUUGACGGGGGCCCGGCACAAGCAGCGGAGCGUGCGGUUUAAAUUCGAAGCUACGCGAAGAACCUUACCAGGGCUUGACAUGGCACUGACCGGCGAUGAAAGUCGCCUUCCCUUCGGGGCGGUGUCACAGAUGCUGCAUGGCUGUCGUCAGCUCGUGCCGUGAGGUGUUGGGUUAAGUCCCGCAACGAGCGCAACCCUCGUCGUGUGUUGAAUUUUUCACACGAGACUGCCCGGAGCAACCGGGAGGAAGGCGGGGAUGACGUCAAGUCAGCAUGGCUCUUACGCCCUGGGCUACUCGCACGCUACAAUGGGCAGUACAGACCGUUGCAAAGCCGUGAGGCGGAGCUAAUCGGACAAAGCUGUCCUCAGUACGGAUUGCAGGCUGCAA
RNAcentral lists this ribosomal RNA (527 nucleotides) under uncultured bacterium. Its description in RNAcentral is "bacterial SSU rRNA". It matches the Rfam family "Bacterial small subunit ribosomal RNA", at positions 775 to 1310 of the family's 1533-position model. The record is from RNAcentral.